UACGGUGGGGGCAAGCGUUGUUCGGAAUUACUGGGUUUAAAGGGUGCGCAGGCGGAUAUGUAAGUCAGUGGUGAAAUCUUCCCGCUUAACGGGAAAACUGCCGUUGAUACUAUAUAUCUUGAAUGCUGUGGAGGUAAGCAGAAUAUGUCAUGUAGCGGUGAAAUGCUUAGAGAUGACAUAGAAUACCGAUUGCGAAGGCAGCUUACUACACAGAUAGUGACGCUCAUGCACGAAAGCGUGGGGAUCAAACAGG
RNAcentral lists this ribosomal RNA (253 nucleotides) under uncultured bacterium. RNAcentral's name for it is "partial 16S ribosomal RNA". It matches the Rfam family "Bacterial small subunit ribosomal RNA", at positions 524 to 776 of the family's 1533-position model. The record is from RNAcentral.